UAGGGAAUCUUCCACAAUGGGCGCAAGCCUGAUGGAGCAACGCCGCGUGAGUGAAGAAGGUCUUCGGAUCGUAAAACUCUGUUGUAAGAGAAGAACGUGUGUGAGAGUGGAAAGUUCACACAGUGACGGUAACUUACCAGAAAGGGACGGCUAACUACGUGCCUG
This 165-nucleotide ribosomal RNA is filed under the name uncultured bacterium. RNAcentral's name for it is "partial 16S rRNA". It matches the Rfam family "Bacterial small subunit ribosomal RNA", at positions 355 to 511 of the family's 1533-position model. The record is from RNAcentral.